CCCUGAGCAGGCUGCAAGUCACUAUAGCUCCUGAGGAAAAUGGCUAUUUACGGCUACAUACCUGUUUUCCAAAGCUUGUAACACCCUGGAAGUCAAUUUUAUAUGGAAGUCAAUGUCCCGGUGCAGCUGGAGCGCCUGAUAUCGGUUGAUUCUGGGUCCUGGUGAGAGAUUCUGGGACUUGACGAUUGAGGCCUACCCGGGAGGGGAGUGUUGCGGAUGGCCACUGCCACGCUUUUCACCCUGGCUAAUGCUACAUUAUGACUUACUUGAUUCCUGCCUGGCCCCGCUCACCCCACCUUUGGACCGGCGGGGGUUAUCCCGGUCCCCACAGCUCCCACUCCUGCACCAAAGACCAGCGGGAACAUUUUGAAUGGCCCAGCUUCCGUGCAUGGUAAACAGGACUGGUCUCUACUACUGCCUGAGGACACCCCUCGCACCACAGCCUCACUUCUAGGAGAAACACCAAAGCCGGGAUCUCUGUUGCUGGCCAAUCGACGAGCCAGAAUUGGGGGCACAUGUAGUACGCUCAUGCAGUGUCUGGGGCCAGCGGAGUGGCACUUACCAGACCUGCCUGUGUGUCUGGAUUUCACAAGCAUUACAACUUAGUAGUAAACAGGAG
Non-coding RNA from Pelobates cultripes (western spadefoot toad), 619 nucleotides. The record is from the annotation of a GenBank genome assembly. NCBI's taxonomy places the organism in Eukaryota, Metazoa, Chordata, Amphibia, Anura, Pelobatidae.